RNAcentral lists this unclassified non-coding RNA (221 nucleotides) under Hevea brasiliensis (rubber tree). The record is from RNAcentral. Lineage: Eukaryota; Viridiplantae; Streptophyta; Magnoliopsida; Malpighiales; Euphorbiaceae.
GGCAGGUCAACUUCUGUCAAGAUGAGGUCGACAUUGUGAGGUCUGCCUUUCAACAACUCCCAUGCCUUUAGACCAUCAGAAACUGCAGCGACUCUGUAACUGCAUUUCCUAAGAAGAGCAGCAACAAUCUGUCUAGUAGAAUCAUCUGAUUCCACCAACAAAACUCUAAAAACCAUUUUAGGCAAAAAUCUUUCCCAUUUCAAGAUUGAAGAAGAUGCUGC